CGGCGUCCGUGAUGUUCCGCAUUACCUACAUUGUUUGACCCUCGUGAGAACAACAGUGGCUGAGACGCCA
This is a small nucleolar RNA of Ochotona curzoniae (black-lipped pika), 70 nucleotides long. RefSeq annotates it as small nucleolar RNA SNORD34. Lineage: Eukaryota; Metazoa; Chordata; Mammalia; Lagomorpha; Ochotonidae. The transcript has a single exon. The record is from RefSeq and is a predicted model, not a curated record.